RNAcentral lists this ribosomal RNA (376 nucleotides) under uncultured bacterium. RNAcentral describes it as "bacterial SSU rRNA". It matches the Rfam family "Bacterial small subunit ribosomal RNA", at positions 524 to 898 of the family's 1533-position model. The record is from RNAcentral.
GACGAACGGAGCGAGCGUUGUUCGGAAUCACUGGGCUUAAAGAGCUCGUAGGCGGGUUAUCAAGCGCUUUGUGAAAGCCCUCGGCUCAACCGAGGAAUAGCUUGGCGAACUGAUAAUCUUGAGGCAGGUAGAGGCAACUGGAACUCAUGGUGGAGCGGUGGAAUGCGUAGAUAUCAUGAGGAACGCCAGAGGCGAAAGCGAGUUGCUGGGCCUGUCCUGACGCUGAGGAGCGAAAGCGUGGGGAGCAAACGGGAUUAGAUACCCCGGUAGUCCACGCCCUAAACUAUGUCUACUAGACAAGGGAUACUCUGACGUAUUCCUUGUCGAAAUGAAAACGUUAAGUAGACCGCCUGGGGAGUACGGUCGCAAGGCUAAA